AUACGUAGGUGGCGAGCGUUGUCCGGAAUUACUGGGCGUAAAGAGCUCGUAGGUGGUUUGUCGCGUCGUCUGUGAAAUUCCGGGGCUUAACUCCGGGCGUGCAGGCGAUACGGGCAUAACUUGAGUACUGUAGGGGAGACGGGAAUUCCUGGUGUAGCGGUGAAAUGCGCAGAUAUCAGGAGGAACACCGGUGGCGAAGGCGGGUCUCUGGGCAGUAACUGACGCUGAGGAGCGAAAGCAUGGGUAGCGAACAGGAUUAGAUACCCUGGUAGUCCAUGCCGUAAACGGUGGGCGCUAGGUGUAGGGGUCUUCCACGACUUCUGUGCCGUAGCUAACGCAUUAAGCGCCCCGCCUGGGGAGUACGGCCGCAAGGCUAAAACUUAAAGGAAUUGACGGGG
Molecule: ribosomal RNA, 398 nt
Filed under: uncultured bacterium
Lineage: Bacteria
Description: partial 16S ribosomal RNA
Rfam family: Bacterial small subunit ribosomal RNA
Source: RNAcentral